Molecule: long non-coding RNA, 425 nt
Organism: Brachypodium distachyon (stiff brome)
Lineage: Eukaryota; Viridiplantae; Streptophyta; Magnoliopsida; Poales; Poaceae
Exons: 2
Source: RefSeq, a predicted model, not a curated record
AGGUCUAGAAGUGGUACAAUUUAAGGCCAACUUGGGUACUUCAGUGAAUCUCCGAAAAUGGAAGCGGUUUUGACUUCUUCAGUAGCCUGACUCAGCACUGAUAAUGCUUCAAGAAAUCUGAGCUGAUGAAAAAGGAAGAGCUAAACUGGAAAAAAACCAUCAAACUGAGCACCCAGUUGGAUCAAACACAAGAAGUGGCAUUACCAAGAACCCUUGUUGAUCAGGGAAUGCAGCAAGACACCUUGUCUGGAAUUUCAGAGGUGAGUCGAUCCUCUUGAAUUCAGCCUAUUACAGGGUAACAAGAAUGUCAAAUGUGCAAGUAAGAAUGUAAGAUUUAGAGUGUCUGUGGAAUAUAUGUACACUAUUGCAGUGACGAGCACAUGAAAAUUCAAUUGGCCCACAGCAAAUGAUUGCUUGUUUACUCA